Non-coding RNA from Chrysemys picta bellii (western painted turtle), 1929 nucleotides. Lineage: Eukaryota; Metazoa; Chordata; Testudines; Emydidae. The record is from RefSeq and is a predicted model, not a curated record.
GGGACUGCCUCCUGCUGAAGGCUGUAUGUGAAUGCAGAGGACUUGUGCCCCUAUUAUCACACCAGUAGGGAGGAGUGGCUUCAGUGGCUCACCUGUUCAGAUGUAAUGUUUCCCCUUACAGAUAGCAGCCCAGGUCGGACAUGCAGCUGUUGGCCUGUACCAGUUAAUACAGGAAAAAUCCACUGGGAGGGAGAUGAUCUCUCAGUGGGAUGAAUAUGGUGCGAAGAAGGUUGUAGUUCAAGGAUCAAACACUGCCCACCUGAUGGAUUUGCAAGCAUUGGCUUUGAGCCUGGAGCUGCCAACAUACUUGGUGCAGGAUGCAGGGAGAACACAGGUUCCAGCUGGAUCUUACACUGUCCUUGCCAUUAUCGGAGAAGAAGAAAUAGUGAAUCAGGUGACUGGGAAGCUGAGGCUGUUGAACUGAGAGCAGCACCAAAGCCUAUUAUUGUGCGCUGUACCUGACUACACGCCGUGGAAUUUGCAAGCCUAUAUGCAACAUGGAGAAAGAAGCACCUGUUAACAGCAUCUCAGGUCCUUCAUCGAGUCAUGGGAACCAGACAGCUACUCCCCUUUCUGCCUGAUGAAGCUGCAGGGGAGGCAUGAAGCUAGGGUGAGGAGGCAGCACUCUUCCUUCCAUUUGAGGGAGUCUGUCUUGCUAGCCCAGGACUGUGAGAGGUAGUAUUGCUGCGCUACUGCAGGUGGAUUAGAGAGACUGCUGCACAUUUCUACCUCUAGCUUCCCUAGAAAUUGUCUUGGAAAAACAAGGCUUGUAUUUUCUGAAACGUGCUUAUGAACAAGAUGAAAUUCUGACAGAUACCUUGCCUUUCCUUGAAAUCUCUGUGGUGAGCUUGUGGCUCUGUUCAUUCCCACUGUUCCCACCCUGAAAUUCUAGAGUUUUAUUGAAAUCCAGGGAAUGUGCACUGCCAUGCUUAGGAUGGGAGGGCUUUUAAUUUUUAUGGAGGUAGGUGUAUGUCCUUUAAUCUCUUGCAUAAAAAUGGGUUUCAAAUAUUUGAUGAUUAAAUGACUAAGAACAUACCCAGUUGUACUAGGUAGGUUUAUGGGGGUCAGCUAGAUCUGAAGGGAGAACAAACCCUCCUGUUUCAGAGCUGGGAAGAAAUUUCCCUUAUGGGCAGGUUAUUCCAUAAUUGCCUUCUACAGGAAUUUCUUGCACUUACGUAUCUGAGACUGGCCAUUGUCAGAGAGGAUAUAGGACUAAAUAGACCCUUGGUUUGGCAAUUCCUAUCCUUCUAAAGCCUAUUCUGGCAGUAUAAACUGAACAGUGGCACAGAUGCAGGCUUGAUCUUUUUAUGAAAUGUACUGUUGAAAUAAUUACCUCUAGGUGAGGAAAAUGGGCAUUAAAUUAGGAUUAAUAUUUCACAUUCAAGAGGGGAGGGAGGUAAUUUUUUCCCCCAGCCCUAACAUCCUGCUUUUAGGUCUUGGUUGUGGUUUUGUAGCACAUGUGCUUAGGUGGAAUUUCUAGUGAACUUUAUUCAAUCCAGUUGGUAGAAAAUAGCCCUGGGUGUUUUGGGCGACAGUAAUGGCUUUUAGUUAUGUGUAGGCUUGGCUGAUUGUCUGUCUGUAGGUACUGGCCCAUGGCGACAGCAUCCAAGUUUGCAUGGUUCAAUAAUGGUUUUUUUUCCUCCUCCCAUCAUAACACCUCCAUUCCCAGUACACCGUACGCACAGUUCCGGAAUUGGAAGAGGUGAAACUGGCUGUCCCAUGAAGUGGAUCUUAAUACCUGUGGCCUGAACUUCCAAGACACCUUGUUUUUAAAUGUUACAUGUACUGAGGGGGGAAAGAAGCAGAGGCAUUGCUUUGUCAUUAGGCUUGUGACCAGAACCUGCUCAGACCUCCUGUAUUCCUAUGGAGAGGCUUUUGGCUUACAGGAUAUGGUCUCCACAUUAAACUUGGAUGCUUGUUAAUAAGCAA